RNAcentral lists this ribosomal RNA (593 nucleotides) under uncultured archaeon. RNAcentral's name for it is "bacterial SSU rRNA". It matches the Rfam family "Archaeal small subunit ribosomal RNA", at positions 88 to 663 of the family's 1478-position model. The record is from RNAcentral.
GCUCAGUAACACGUGGCUAACCUACCCUUGAGACGGAGACAACCCCGGGAAACUGGGGCUAAUCCCAGAUAGAUGAGAACUCCUGGAACGGGUUCUCGUCCAAAAGGCGUUAAAGUCAUGCUCUUUAGCGUCGCUCAAGGAUGGGGCCGCGGCCGAUCAGGCUGUUGGUGAGGCAACGGCUCACCAAACCUUUAACCGGUACGGGCCGUGGGAGCGGGUGCCCGGAGAUGGGAACUGAGACAAGGUCCCAGGCCCUACGGGGCGCAGCCGUUGCGAAAACUCGUCAAUGCACGAAAGUGUGAACGGGCUACCCCGAGUGCUGUCCGCUGAGGAUGGCUUUUCUCUGCUGUAAGGAGGCGGAGGAAUAAGGAGAGGGCAAGUCUGGUGUCAGCCGCCGCGGUAAUACCAGCUCUCCGAGUGGUGGGGAUGUUUAUUGGGCUUAAAGCGUCCGUAGCCUGCCCUUCAAGUCUUUCGUUAAAUCCAGCGAUUCAAUCGUUGGACCGCGGGAGAUACUGUUGGGCUANGGGGCGGGAGAAGCCGACGGUAUUUCCGGGGUAGGGGUAAAAUCCUAUAAUCCCCGGGAGGACCACCAG